RNAcentral lists this ribosomal RNA (213 nucleotides) under uncultured bacterium. Its description in RNAcentral is "partial 16S ribosomal RNA". It matches the Rfam family "Bacterial small subunit ribosomal RNA", at positions 524 to 736 of the family's 1533-position model. The record is from RNAcentral.
UACGGAGGAUCCAAGCGUUAUCCGGAAUCAUUGGGUUUAAAGGGUCCGUAGGCGGUUUUGUAAGUCAGUGGUGAAAGCCCAUCGCUCAACGGUGGAACGGCCAUUGAUACUGCAAGACUUGAAUUAUUGGAAAGUAACUAGAAUAUGUAGUGUAGCGGUGAAAUGCUUAGAGAUUACAUGGAAUACCAAUUGCGAAGGCAGGUUACUACCAAU